This 1452-nucleotide ribosomal RNA is filed under the name Triticum aestivum (bread wheat). RNAcentral's name for it is "partial small subunit ribosomal RNA". The record is from RNAcentral. Lineage: Eukaryota; Viridiplantae; Streptophyta; Magnoliopsida; Poales; Poaceae.
AUGGACGCCAACUGGCGGCCCACCCAAGGGCCGGACCCCGCCGCCGCCGCCGCCGUAGGCGAUUGGCGCGCCCAGCUCCAGCCCGAGGCGCGCAGCAGGGUCGUCAAUAAGAUAUUGGAGACUCUGAGGAAGAUCCUGCCAGUAUCGGUGCCAGACGAACUGAUCGAACUUCAAGAAAUCGCCAGGCAAUUCGAAGACAAGAUCUACACUGAAGCAACCAAUCAGUCUGAUUAUGUGCGGAAGAUUUCUCUGAAAAUGGUCUCUAUGGAGACGAGCAGACAACUGGCUCCUGGAAAUGCUCAAGUGAUUCCAAAUCAAAACAACUCAGCUCCUGCACUCCCUCCACAAGGCGGAAAUCAAGCACAGACAUCAGCCAUUCCUUUGAUGUCUGAACAACAGUCCCAACAGAAUCAAUUGAAUCCCGUACAACAAUCUGUGCAAUCAUUACUCCAGCAACCUCAACAAACUGUUGGGAGGCAGCAGCGACAAGCACAUCCCUCCAUUCAUCAACAACCUUCACUGCAGAGUCAGCAGCUCAAUAUUCUUUUACAGCAGCAGCAGCAGCAGCAGCAGUUGAUGGGACACCAGCCAAAUUUACAACAGAAUGGUGCUGUGGAAAUGCAGGAGCAACAGAGGCUACCAGUUCAGUCAAAUAAUCUUUUGAAUGUGCAGCAAACACAGCAGAUGUUGAAUCAGCAGUAUAUGCCUCUGCAUCAGCCACAUCAAUUGGGCUCUCAGGCAUACAUGGUGAGUCUACAGCAUCAGCAACUUCUUGGAACUGUGCCUAAUGUGUCAAACAUGCAUCGGAUGCAUAUGCUACACACAGAAGCUCAGCAACCACAGGAACAACAGCAUGCUCAGCAGCCACCAAUGCAACCUCAGUCUCAACACAACCAACUCCAACAGUCGCAACAGCAUCUUAUGUCACAAUUCCAAUCUCAGCCUAACCAACUACAACAUCAAUCAGGGAUGCAGCCGCAAUCCUCCAUGCAACGACGACUUCAAGCUUCAGGAGGCAUGCUCUUGCAACAAAAUAACAUGGAUCCGAUUCAGGCACAGAGGGGCCUUCAAGAAGUUUCCUCUAGUACAUCUGCGGACUCUACUGCUCAAACAGGUGAUGAAGAUGAAGAUGCAGAUUAUUGGCAAGAGGAGAUAUAUCAAAUGGUCAAGAUCAUGAAGGACCAAUACUUUGCAGACCUCAGCGAACUGUUCAAUAAGGUAUGUGUGAAGCUACAGCAUGUCGAGAGCAUGAUACGACCUCCGAUUCCAUCCGAGCAGUAUGAUAGAAUGAAGAGCUUUAAAACGAUGCUGGAACGUAUAUUACAAAUGCUGCAGAUUAGUAAGAGUAUCAUCCAACCUGCUAUGAGGGACAGAGUUCCUCAAUACGAGAAACAGAUUAUCACCAUCUUGAAUUGUCUAAGGAAGCCAGUGCAGCCACAAGUACAGCAAUAG